This 2897-nucleotide ribosomal RNA is filed under the name Xanthomonas hortorum pv. hederae. Its description in RNAcentral is "bacterial LSU rRNA". It matches the Rfam family "Bacterial large subunit ribosomal RNA". Lineage: Bacteria; Pseudomonadati; Pseudomonadota; Gammaproteobacteria; Lysobacterales; Lysobacteraceae. The record is from RNAcentral.
GUUAUAUGGUCAAGCGAAUAAGCGCACACGGUGGAUGCCUAGGCGGUCAGAGGCGAUGAAGGACGUGGUAGCCUGCGAAAAGUGUCGGGGAGCUGGCAACAAGCUUUGAUCCGGCAAUAUCCGAAUGGGGAAACCCACUGCUUCGGCAGUAUCCUGCAGUGAAUUCAUAGCUGCUGGAAGCGAACCCGGUGAACUGAAAUAUCUAAGUAACCGGAGGAAAAGAAAUCAACCGAGAUUCCCUAAGUAGUGACGAGCGAACGGGGAACAGCCCUUAAGCUGGAAUGGCUUUAGAAAAACAAUCUGGAAAGAUUGGCCAUAGAAGGUGAUAGCCCUGUAUUUAAAAGGGCCACUCCAGUGAAAACGAGUAGGGCGGGGCACGUGAAACCCUGUCUGAAUAUGGGGGGACCAUCCUCCAAGGCUAAAUACUCCUGACCGACCGAUAGUGAACCAGUACCGUGAGGGAAAGGCGAAAAGAACCCCGGAGAGGGGAGUGAAAUAGAUCCUGAAACCGUGUGCGUACAAGCAGUAGGAGCUCGCAAGAGUGACUGCGUACCUUUUGUAUAAUGGGUCAGCGACUUACUGUUCGUGGCAAGCUUAACCGUAUAGGGGAGGCGAAGGGAAACCGAGUCUGAUAAGGGCGCAUAGUCGCGGGCAGUAGACCCGAAACCGGGUGAUCUAGUCAUGGCCAGGGUGAAGGUGCCGUAACAGGUACUGGAGGCCCGAACCCACGUCUGUUGCAAAAGACGGGGAUGAGCUGUGAUUAGGAGUGAAAAGCUAAUCGAACCCGGAGAUAGCUGGUUCUCCUCGAAAGCUAUUUAGGUAGCGCCUCGGACGAAUACUGCUGGGGGUAGAGCACUGUUAUGGCUAGGGGGUCAUCGCGACUUACCAAACCAUUGCAAACUCCGAAUACCAGUACGUACUAUCCGGGAGACACACGGCGGGUGCUAACGUCCGUCGUGAAAAGGGAAACAACCCAGACCCACAGCUAAGGUCCCAAAUUCACUGCUAAGUGGAAAACGAUGUGGAAAGGCAUAGACAGCCAGGAGGUUGGCUUAGAAGCAGCCACCCUUUAAAGAAAGCGUAAUAGCUCACUGGUCGAGUCGGUCUGCGCGGAAGAUUUAACGGGGCUAAGCAGUGAACCGAAGCUUGGGGUGCGUAAAACUUCGGUUUUAUGCGCGGUAGAGGAGCGUUCCGUAAGCCUGCGAAGGUGGAUUGAGAAGUCCGCUGGAGGUAUCGGAAGUGCGAAUGCUGACAUGAGUAACGAUAAUGCGGGUGAAAAGCCCGCACGCCGAAAGCCCAAGGUUUCCUUGCGCAACGUUAAUCGACGCAGGGUUAGUCGGUCCCUAAGGCGAGGGCGAAAGCCGUAGUCGAUGGGAAGCAGGUUAAUAUUCCUGCACCUCGCGUGAGUGCGAUGGAGGGACGGAGAAGGUUAGGUGUACCGGGCGUUGGUUGUCCCGGGGAAAGGCGGUAGGUUUGGAUCUUUGGCAAAUCCGGGAUCCUUUAAGACCGAGCACCGAGACGAGCCUUUAUGGCAAAGUCACUGAUACCACGCUUCCAGGAAAAGCUCCUAAGCUUCAGCUCACGAAGACCGUACCGUAAACCGACACAGGUGGGUAGGAUGAGAAUUCUCAGGCGCUUGAGAGAACUCGGGUGAAGGAACUAGGCAACAUGGCACCGUAACUUCGGGAGAAGGUGCACCCUUUUUGGUGGCUCAUGCGAGCUAUAGCUGAAGAGGGUCGCAGAAACCAGGCCGCUGCGACUGUUUAUCAAAAACACAGCACUCUGCAAACACGAAAGUGGACGUAUAGGGUGUGACGCCUGCCCGGUGCUGGAAGGUUAAUUGAUGGGGUCAGCCGCAAGGCGAAGCUCUUGAUCGAAGCCCCAGUAAACGGCGGCCGUAACUAUAACGGUCCUAAGGUAGCGAAAUUCCUUGUCGGGUAAGUUCCGACCUGCACGAAUGGCGUAACGACAGCGGCGCUGUCUCCACCCGAGACUCAGUGAAAUUGAAAUCGCUGUGAAGAUGCAGCGUUCCCGUGGCAAGACGGAAAGACCCCGUGAACCUUUACUAUAGCUUUACACUGAACGUUGAGUUCGUCUGUGUAGGAUAGGUGGGAGGCUAUGAAACUGUGGCGCUAGCUGCAGUGGAGCCAUCCUUGAAAUACCACCCUGUCGUGCUUGACGUUCUAACCUAGAUCCGUUAUCCGGAUCAGGGACCGUGUAUGGUGGGUAGUUUGACUGGGGCGGUCUCCUCCUAAAGAGUAACGGAGGAGCACGAAGGUACGCUCAGCGCGGUCGGACAUCGCGCACUGUGUGCAAAGGCAUAAGCGUGCUUGACUGCAAGAUCGACGGAUCAAGCAGGUACGAAAGUAGGUCUUAGUGAUCCGGUGGUUCUGUAUGGAAGGGCCAUCGCUCAACGGAUAAAAGGUACUCCGGGGAUAACAGGCUGAUACCGCCCAAGAGUUCAUAUCGACGGCGGUGUUUGGCACCUCGAUGUCGGCUCAUCACAUCCUGGGGCUGUAGUCGGUCCCAAGGGUAUGGCUGUUCGCCAUUUAAAGUGGUACGCGAGCUGGGUUCAGAACGUCGUGAGACAGUUCGGUCCCUAUCUGCCAUGGGCGUUGGAAGUUUGAGAGGGGCUGCUCCUAGUACGAGAGGACCGGAGUGGACGAACCUCUGGUGUUCCGGUUGUCACGCCAGUGGCAUUGCCGGGUAGCUAUGUUCGGAAGCGAUAACCGCUGAAAGCAUCUAAGCGGGAAGCGCGCCUCAAGAUGAGACUUCCCGGGGCACAAGCCCCCUAAAGGAACCAUAUAGACUAUGUGGUUGAUAGGUCAGGUGUGUAAGUACAGCAAUGUAUUGAGCUAACUGAUACUAAUGAUCCGUGCGGCUUGACCAUAUAACCU